UGAUCCUGGCUCAGGAUGAACGCUAGCGGCAGGCCUAACACAUGCAAGUCGAGGGGUAACAGAGAAGCUUGCUUCUGCUGACGACCGGCGCACGGGUGCGUAACGCGUAUGCAACCUACCUCAUACUGGAGAAUAGCCCUUGGAAACGAGGAUUAAUACUCCAUGGUAUCAUUCUUUCGCAUGUUAGAAUGAUUAAAGAAUUUCGGUAUGAGAUGGGCAUGCGUCCCAUUAGCUAGUUGGUGAGGUAACGGCUCACCAAGGCGACGAUGGGUAGGGGGCCUGAGAGGGUGGUCCCCCACACUGGUACUGAGACACGGACCAGACUCCUACGGGAGGCAGCAGUGAGGAAUAUUGGUCAAUGGAGGCAACUCUGAACCAGCCAUGCCGCGUGAAGGAUGACGGCCCUAUGGGUUGUAAACUUCUUUUAUAUGGGAAGAAACUUAUCUACGUGUAGAUAACUGACGGUACCAUACGAAUAAGGAUCGGCUAACUCCGUGCCAGCAGCCGCGGUAAUACGGAGGAUCCAAGCGUUAUCCGGAUUCAUUGGGUUUAAAGGGUCCGUAGGCGGAUUUUUAAGUCAGUGGUGAAAGCCGGCAGCUCAACUGUCGAACUGCCAUUGAUACUGGAAAUCUUGAGUACAAAUGAAGUAGGCGGAAUGAGUCAUGUAGCGGUGAAAUGCAUAGAUAUGACUCAGAACACCGAUUGCGAAGGCAGCUUACUAACAUGUAACUGACGCUGAGGGACGAAAGCGUGGGGAGCGAACAGGAUUAGAUACCCUGGUAGU
RNAcentral lists this ribosomal RNA (784 nucleotides) under uncultured marine bacterium. RNAcentral's name for it is "bacterial SSU rRNA". It matches the Rfam family "Bacterial small subunit ribosomal RNA", at positions 14 to 794 of the family's 1533-position model. The record is from RNAcentral.